AUUGAACGCUGGCGGCAGGCCUAACACAUGCAAGUCGAACGGUAACAGGAAGCAGCUUGCUGCUUUGCUGACGAGUGGCGGACGGGUGAGUAAUGUCUGGGAAACUGCCCGAUGGAGGGGGAUAACUACUGGAAACGGUAGCUAAUACCGCAUAACGUCGCAAGACCAAAGAGGGGGACCUUAGGGCCUCUUGCCAUCGGAUGUGCCCAGAUGGGAUUAGCUAGUAGGUGGGGUAACGGCUCACCUAGGCGACGAUCCCUAGCUGGUCUGAGAGGAUGACCAGCCACACUGGAACUGAGACACGGUCCAGACUCCUGCGGGAGGCAGCAGUGGGGAAUAUUGCACAAUGGGCGCAAGCCUGAUGCAGCCAUGCCGCGUGUAUGAAGAAGGCCUUCGGGUUGUAAAGUACUUUCAGCGGGGAGGAAGGGAGUAAAGUUAAUACCUUUGCUCAUUGACGUUACCCGCAGAAGAAGCACCGGCUAACUCCGUG
RNAcentral lists this ribosomal RNA (490 nucleotides) under uncultured bacterium. Its description in RNAcentral is "partial 16S ribosomal RNA". It matches the Rfam family "Bacterial small subunit ribosomal RNA", at positions 30 to 507 of the family's 1533-position model. The record is from RNAcentral.